Molecule: long non-coding RNA, 213 nt
Filed under: Elaeis guineensis (African oil palm)
Lineage: Eukaryota; Viridiplantae; Streptophyta; Magnoliopsida; Arecales; Arecaceae
Description: long non-coding RNA (EGUI_LNC073740)
Source: RNAcentral
UACCCUAGGGUUUCUACCUAGGGUUUGGGAAGUGAGAUUGGUGUGCCACGAGUGUCGUGAGUCCACCAAAUUUCAGAGAGAGAUCCAUCAGCCUCUCAAGCAAUCGUGCAAAUGAUCCAGAGUAUCCAAGGAGUCGGCACACAUUGAUCGAAGGAGUUCGAUCAACAUCUGCCAUCAAAAGGGUGAAAUCACGAACUAGCAUUCGUGAGGAGC